Molecule: ribosomal RNA, 434 nt
Filed under: uncultured archaeon
Lineage: Archaea
Description: bacterial SSU rRNA
Rfam family: Bacterial small subunit ribosomal RNA
Source: RNAcentral
CUAAACUGAGGGAGGUACGUCGAAACUGACCGGCUAGAGGGACGUAGAGGUAAGCGGAACUCUCGGAGUAGCGGCGAAAUGCGUAGAGACCGAGAGGUACCCCGAUGGUGAAGACAGCUUACUGGGCGUCUCCUGACGCUGAAGCGCUAAGGCCAGGGGAGCGAAGGGGAUUAGAUACCCCCGUAGUCCUGGCUUCAAACGAUGUGGGCUUGGUGUCGGCCCCCUAUAGAGGGUCGUUGCCGGAGUUAACGCGUUAAGCCCACCGCCUGGGGAUUACGUCCGCAAGGAUGAAACUCAAGGGAAUUGACGGGGGCCCACACAACCGGUGGAGCACGUGGUUUAAUUCGAUGAUAAGCGAAGAACCUUACCAGGGCUUGACCUAGCGGUAGUAGAACCCCGAAAGGGGAACGACCUCAAGCUUUGCUUGAGGAGCC